This 2116-nucleotide long non-coding RNA is filed under the name Oryctolagus cuniculus (rabbit). RNAcentral's name for it is "lncRNA (ENSOCUG00000030489.1)". The record is from RNAcentral. Lineage: Eukaryota; Metazoa; Chordata; Mammalia; Lagomorpha; Leporidae.
GGGUCCCCCUUGUCCCGACUGGCCAGGUCAGGCUUCGAAGCCCCGAGACGCUCCGGGUUGUGCCACCCGGGGGUUCCUUUGGGAAAAUCCCCGUCGCCCUCGCGCCGCGCCGGGACUCGCGCGCCCCCCCGGCUCUCGGAGAAGCAGGCGCCGGGGCAGCCCCUGCCCGGCCAGCUCGCGGCCAGCUCCGCCCGGGGCAGGACAGGGCGCCGCGCCGACUCUCCCUACGCCUCCUCGCGAGCCCGACUGGAGCCGGGGAUCCCGCGCGAGGGUGCGUCCCGGGCCCUCCCUGCGCUGCCGCGAGCAACUUUGUGCGGGCGGCGCGGCCGGCAGGUGGGAGAAGGUGGCCGGCUAAGCGCGCCGCGGGAGGGUGAGUGCGGUCGGGUGUCCCCGCGCGCAGGUUCCCCUCUCGUCCACCUGGUGCCUCGGGCAGAGUUGUCGCUGGGGAUCCGGGGACGCUAGGUUGGGGGGGAAGCUUUCUGGAAGCUACUUGCGGCGACCAAAGAGCGAGUCAGCCGGACCCCGCCGCUCCCCGGGGUAGGGAGCGCGACCCCCGGUCCCUGUUCCCGGCUCUGGGAGCUUGAGGGCGUGACAGGCCACAGCCCGCCCCAGCUGCGCGACCCCGGGAGCGCCGGGCAACGCGGUCCCCCUGCUCAGGGAAGGGAUGAGCCGCGGUGCAGGUUACGGCGUCGCGCUGCGUGCGAUCCGCGCGUUCUGCCCCGCCGGCUCGCCUCGUCCCCGGGGGCGCGCGGGCGCGGGGGCCCGGCAGAGGGCGCACGUGUCCCCGAGCGCCGCGCGGGCCGGCCGAGGGGAGGGCACCGGCGGGAGCCUCCUCCAGGUGAGGAGCUCAGCGAAUCCGUCCCGGACCCGGUCCCCGCGCCGCGGCUCAAAGGCUGGGCGGCGCCGCUGAGCAGUGGGAGUGCGGGGCGGCCCUCGUGCGGGACGCGUUGGGCUUUCUGCUGCCCAGAGGUGCGGGGGACAGCUCGGGAAGACUCUUCCAGCUGCAUCAGAGACGGAUUAUUUCCUAACACCGUCGGGGAGAGGCCCACGCGGGAUGGUGAAUUCUCUCUGAGUCUCCCUCCACUAGCGGAACAGAAGAGCGAGUCCGAGUGGUGAACCCCGAAGACUCAGAGCGCUGGGAGGGUGCUUGGGACAUUCCACGGCGGAAGCCAUGAUUUAGGCGUCGGCGCCAAGGUAAGCGUGUGGGAGAGAAACAGCAGUUUUGUGGGGACCACCAUGGCUGGCAUUCCUCUGAGACUAGGUUCAGGCACGUGGUGAAGGGAGAUCUUGUGGGAACCGCAUCCAAUGCCCCAGUCGACCCUGAGAAAAAGGCCAGGGCUCCAGGAAAGACGCGGGUUGUGGACAGGCAGAGAGGCUGGGCCGCAGUGGCAGCUGGGAAAAUCCCUCGUUGUUUCUUCCGUGGUCCUGUGUCCUCUCAUGUCCCUGACAAACGCCGAGAAAGAAAAGGCCAGCUUCAUGUUGCAGUGAGCAUUGGCUGUGAAACAGUUUUAUUUAUUUGAGAAGCAGAGAGAGACAGAGAAAGAUACAGAGAGAGACAGCUCCCAUCUGCUGGUUCCCUCCCCAAAUGCCUUCCGUGUCCAGGCCUGGGCUGGCGCUAGGGCCAGGAGCCGGAACCCAAUGCAGGUCUUUGCAUGAGUGGCAUGGGGACCCGCUGGCAUGAGCCAUCGUCGCCGCCUACCAGUGGGGAAGCUGGAGUCAGGAGCCGGCGCUGGAAACUGAACCCAGGCACUUCUGUGUGAGUCGUGGGCAUCCUACCCAUGAGGCUUAGCAGGAGAGCCAGCCACCGAAGUAGUAGCAGAAGCAGCCUUCAGGGAGCUCUGUGCAGUCUGACCUGCCUUUGUGGGCCAGCAUCUCCCAGAGUGUGUUCCCUAGAGUCUUAAGGCAGGUGGAGAGGGGUUGCAAUAUGGGUCUGCACCCCAGUGAGCCUGGCAAACGUUGGGUUACUGUGUGGCAAGCUCCCUCCGGACUAAUGAGCCUUGUGAAUCUCCGUGGGUGUGUGUACCCAGCCAUGCUCACCAGAGGGCCCACGGGUGUCCCCCACCAGGGCACAUCUCGGGGCCAGUUCUGCCUUUGCUUGUACGGUGUAUGUUGAACU